UCACUUGGACCUAACUCUCCUGACACAGCAAGUCUCCGUGACCCUGUUUGCUCCAGGUCAGCCCUGCUGUGAAAUUCUGCUCCAACCACGUGAUCCUUGCCUUAGAGCAAGGAGUUCAGGCUCCUUGUUCAGACUUAGGGAGCCUCAUCUAAAGUCAGAACAGUACCCUCAUAUGCAAAGCCACCACGAGGCAGAAGUUCUUAGAGAAAUUCAAGCUGUGCUCUGUCCAACAAUGAACAGCGUCCACGUACAACUAGGUGUGUGCGUUGAUUUUGUCAUCACUGUGACUAACUAUCUGAGAAGCAGACACCGAGGGGUGGAGGUUUGUUUGUUUGGUUGGUUGGUUUUGGUUUUGGUUUGUUUUUUGGAAGACUGUCUUGAGUGGAUGUAGUCCACGAUGGAGGGCAAGGGGUCUACAGGAGAACAAUUUGCAAUUGUGGCAAGAGGAAUUUGAGGUCCCAGCUUUGAGCACUGUCACGUCACACCUGAUGGUGGGAUUUCUGAGAAGAUGAUGGGCAAACACUCCACAGGAAGCAGGAAGAAGGAAAGGAAGGACACUUCCCUGAUUCCGGUGCUACAACCUAAUGGUUCUCUCUUCAUUUCUGGAGGUUUGGACAAAAGAUCAUGGUGGUUUCAGCUUUCCUCUUUCUAAGGAAGUUGCUUUUCUCAUAUUCAAACAAUCUCCACCUGAGAAGGAAUCUAAAACCAUCUGACCCCAGCCUCUUAUGCCGAGGUCGUCUCUUUGCCCACACAGUGGUCCCUAGGCUCAGUCUCAGCCGCUUCAACCACACUGCACCGCAUCUUGUCCAUUCCAUUUGUGGAACAAGUGAAGUUGAUAACAUGUUCUCCAUGUGUAUGGUCUUACUAGUCUAGAAAUCCUAGCUUUAAAGAGAUUAUGAUCGCCUCUAUUGGUCAGAAGGUGUAAUUUAAAACUUUUAAUAUCAAAUUGUAGAGUAUAAAGAAAAUUUGGUAUUUCUGAA
This is a long non-coding RNA of Mesocricetus auratus (golden hamster), 980 nucleotides long. RefSeq lists it as uncharacterized. The transcript has 2 exons. NCBI's taxonomy places the organism in Eukaryota, Metazoa, Chordata, Mammalia, Rodentia, Cricetidae. The record is from RefSeq and is a predicted model, not a curated record.